Molecule: long non-coding RNA, 240 nt
Filed under: Lotus japonicus
Lineage: Eukaryota; Viridiplantae; Streptophyta; Magnoliopsida; Fabales; Fabaceae
Description: long non-coding RNA (LJAP_LNC001971)
Source: RNAcentral
UUGCUCUCUAACUAAGUAAUUUGUAUCCUUUGUUAUUAUUUGGUUCAAGUGCUGUUAAUUUCCUCCAGAAAAUGCUAUACAAGCCAUAAGCUUUCUACCAAAGUGAUUUCACGAAGUGAGUGCUUAUCAACCGAUUUAAAUAAUGUUAGGAAUUAGGAUUACUAUUAUAUAAAUGUGUUAAAUUAGAAGAAUGAUUCUGAUUCUACUAUAUAUUUGCCCAGCCAAAGGCUCAUGCUCCAU